UUCCAUAUAUUAUUUUUUAUGGUAGUACCUGCUCUAUGUAUUUAUGUAUAAAUGGCCGCAGUAUCUUGACUGUGCAAAGGUAGCAUAAUUAAUUGCCUUAUAAUUGAAGGCUUGUUUGAAUGGUUUGACGAGGUAAAAACAAAUAUCUUUUUUAUAGUUGAAAUUGUUAUAGAGGGCACAGAAUCCUCUACUAUUAAUUAGACGGAAAGACCCCAGGAUCUUUUAAUUUUGUCUGGGGCAGAUGAAAAUUAUUCAUUUUUAUUAUGACCCUCUAUGGUUUAAUGAUUUAAGUUACCCUGGGGAUAACAGUGUAAUAGUUUAUAAGAGGCCUUAUCGAAUAAACUGUUUGCUACCUCGAUGUUGACUUAGGUAAAUAUUCUGGGCGCAGUAGUCUAGAAUCUUGGUCUGUUCGACCUAAUAUACCUCC
This 427-nucleotide ribosomal RNA is filed under the name Pseudocrepidobothrium eirasi. Its description in RNAcentral is "partial 16S ribosomal RNA". It matches the Rfam family "Bacterial large subunit ribosomal RNA", at positions 1831 to 2599 of the family's 2925-position model. The record is from RNAcentral. Lineage: Eukaryota; Metazoa; Platyhelminthes; Cestoda; Proteocephalidea; Proteocephalidae.